RNAcentral lists this ribosomal RNA (460 nucleotides) under uncultured bacterium. RNAcentral describes it as "partial 16S ribosomal RNA". It matches the Rfam family "Bacterial small subunit ribosomal RNA", at positions 338 to 795 of the family's 1533-position model. The record is from RNAcentral.
CCUACGGGAGGCAGCAGUGAGGAAUAGUGGUCAAUGGGCGCGAGCCUGAACCAGCCAAGUCGCGUGAGGGAGGACGGCCCUACGGGUUGUAAACCUCUUUUGCCGGGGAGCAACGGGCGCCACGUGUGGCGUCACUGAGAGUACCCGGAGAAAAAGCAUCGGCUAACUCCGUGACAGCAGCCGCGGUAAUACGGUUGAUGCGAGCGUUAUCCGGAUUUAUUGGGGUUAAAGGGUUCGUAGGCGGGUCGUUAAGUCAGUGGUCACAUUGAGGGGCUCACCCCCUUCCCGCCAUUGAAACUGGCGUUCUUGAGUGGAAGAGAAGUAUGCGGAAUGCGUGGUGUAGCGGUGAAAUGCAUAGAUAUCACGCAGAACCCCGAUUGCGAAGGCAGCAUGCCGGCUUCCGACUGACGCUGAAGCACGAAAGCGUGGGGAUCGAACAGGAUUAGAUACCCGAGUAGUC